GAGUUUGAUCCUGGCUCAGAUUGAACGCUGGCGGUAUGCUUAACACAUGCAAGUCGAACGGUAACAGGAGAGAGCUUGCUCUUUUGCUGACGAGUGGCGGACGGGUGAGUAAUGCGUAGGAAUCUGCCUAGUAGUGGGGGACAACGUGUGGAAACGCACGCUAAUACCGCAUACGCCCUACGGGGAAGCGGGGAGUCUUCGGACCUCGCGCUAUUAGAUGAGCCUACGUUAGAUUAGCUAGUUGGUGGGGUAAAGGCCUACCAAGGCGACGAUCUAUAGCUGGUCUGAGAGGAUGAUCAGCCACACUGGGACUGAGACACGGCCCAGACUCCUACGGGAGGCAGCUAGUGGGGAAUAUUGGACAAUGGGCGAAAGCCUGAUCCAGCAAUACCGCGUGUGUGAAGAAGGCC
Molecule: ribosomal RNA, 410 nt
Filed under: uncultured microorganism
Description: bacterial SSU rRNA
Rfam family: Bacterial small subunit ribosomal RNA
Source: RNAcentral